UCAGGUCCUUGGGCCUGCUUGCGGUUUGGUUACAAACACAAGCUUGCCUUAAAUGAAUUAGCUGAGCUUCAGCAGAGUUGUUAAGUAACAUUGAAAACUCUCGUAAGAAGAAGCUUGCUCUCUAAUCUUUGUCGUCUUUUGUGGACGAUAAUAUUUUCUAUUUUGGCCUCAAAUCAGGUAGGACUACCCGCUGAACUUAA
RNAcentral lists this unclassified non-coding RNA (200 nucleotides) under soil metagenome. RNAcentral describes it as "partial contains internal transcribed spacer 2 and large subunit ribosomal RNA". The record is from RNAcentral.